This 104-nucleotide small nuclear RNA is filed under the name Bos indicus x Bos taurus (hybrid cattle). The record is from RNAcentral. Lineage: Eukaryota; Metazoa; Chordata; Mammalia; Artiodactyla; Bovidae.
GUGCUCACUUCAGCAGCACAUACACUAAAAUUGAAACAGUACAGAGAUUAGCAUGGCCCCUGUGCAAGGAUGACAUGCAAAUUCGUGAAGCGUUCCUUAUUUUU